Molecule: ribosomal RNA, 431 nt
Filed under: uncultured bacterium
Lineage: Bacteria
Description: partial 16S ribosomal RNA
Rfam family: Bacterial small subunit ribosomal RNA
Source: RNAcentral
AACGAACGCUGGCGGCAGGCUUAACACAUGCAAGUCGAGCGCCCCGCAAGGGGAGCGGCAGACGGGUGAGUAACGCGUGGGAACGUACCUUUUGGUUCGGAACAACUCCGGGAAACUGUAGCUAAUACCGGAUAAGCCCUAACGGGGAAAGAUUUAUCGCCGAAAGAUCGGCCCGCGUCUGAUUAGCUAGUUGGUGAGGUAACGGCUCACCAAGGCGACGAUCAGUAGCUGGUCUGAGAGGAUGAUCAGCCACACUGGGACUGAGACACGGCCCAGACUCCUACGGGAGGCAGCAGUGGGGAAUAUUGGACAAUGGGCGCAAGCCUGAUCCAGCCAUGCCGCGUGAGUGAUGAAGGCCUUAGGGUUGUAAAGCUCUUUUGUCCGGGAAGAUAAUGACUGUACCGGAAGAAUAAGCCCCGGCUAACUUCGUG